UGUCCGACUGGGCGCGGACGAUGACGUCGUAGGGUCCUGUCACGUCCUCGGCCUGGAUCACGCCGGGAAGCUUGCUGAUCGUCUCGGCGACGGUCGAC
Molecule: transfer RNA, 98 nt
Filed under: Streptomyces lividans
Lineage: Bacteria; Bacillati; Actinomycetota; Actinomycetes; Kitasatosporales; Streptomycetaceae
Also listed under: 2 other names
Description: tRNA-Asp
Source: RNAcentral